RNAcentral lists this ribosomal RNA (587 nucleotides) under Ditylum brightwellii. RNAcentral's name for it is "partial Bacterial large subunit ribosomal RNA". It matches the Rfam family "Bacterial large subunit ribosomal RNA", at positions 1964 to 2551 of the family's 2925-position model. The record is from RNAcentral. Lineage: Eukaryota; Bacillariophyta; Thalassiosirophyceae; Lithodesmiales; Lithodesmiaceae.
AUUCCUUGUCGGGUAAGUUCCGACCUGCACGAAUGGAGCAACGACCUCUCCGCUGUCUCUACUAUGAACUCGGCGAAAUUGCACUACGAGUAAAGAUGCUCGUUACGCGCGGCAGGACGAAAAGACCCCGGGACCUUCACUAUAGCUUGGUAUUGGUGUUUGGUUCGGUUUGUGUAGGAUAGGUGGGAGACUUGGAAGCUAUCACGCUAGUGGUGGUGGAGUCGUUGUUGAAAUACCACUCUGAUCGGAUUGAGCAUCUAACCUUGGCCCAUGAUCUGGGUUGGGGACAGUGCCUGGUGGGUAGUUUAACUGGGGCGGUUGCCUCCCAAAAUGUAACGGAGGCGCCCAAAGGUUCCCUCAGCCUGGUUGGCAAUCAGGUGUCGAGUGCAAGUGCACAAGGGAGCUUGACUGUGAGACCGACGGGUCGAGCAGGAGCGAAAGCUGGGACUAGUGACCCGGCACCGGCAUGUGGAAGCGGUGUCGCUCAACGGAUAAAAGGUACCCCGGGGAUAACAGGCUGAUCUUCCCCAAGAGUCCAUAUCGACGGGAUGGUUUGGCACCUCGAUGUCGGCUCGUCGCAUCCUGGG